GGAAGCCUGAAAAUGUUUAUUUAUUGAGCUUUAAGUUCUUUCUGCUCUGUAAAGAAUUUUCAAUAAUAUUUCUGUAUAAUUCCCAUAGCCUUUAAUAGCUUCAAAACAAGUGCUUCUUGUUUGUUUUCCUUUAACUUUACCAAGAAUAUCAUUACAAACAGCUCAACUCUUUCCCCGAAUCGUUCAAGGUUGAUCGCAUUAUGGAGACAGGGAAUAACGAUCAAUAGAGGUGUCGUUUAUUUGCCAAUUAAAUAUUCUCAACACAGCAGCCGAUUGACAAAUGAAUAACCAAUUAGCACCUGGCAGAGAAAGGAGCUAACUUAGAUGCUUGGACACGUAGUACUUGGGUUUCCCUGCCAGGUUUGAUUCUGGCUAAUGUGUCAUGUAAUGUGUGGGGAUAAUGGCCCAUGAACCAUUACCAUUAACAUUAACUGCAACAAUUUGCAUAACAAAUUGCAAGUGAAGGGACUCGUUGGGCAUGCC
RNAcentral lists this long non-coding RNA (483 nucleotides) under Drosophila guanche. The record is from RNAcentral. Lineage: Eukaryota; Metazoa; Arthropoda; Insecta; Diptera; Drosophilidae.